ACAACACUUUAAAAUGCAGACCCCAAGGUCUCAUCUCAGAAAUUCUAAGUAGGUCUGGAAUAGAGUCCAGGAAUUUGCAUUUUAAGGCAAAACCCAGCGUUAUU
Molecule: microRNA precursor, 104 nt
Filed under: Mustela putorius furo (domestic ferret)
Lineage: Eukaryota; Metazoa; Chordata; Mammalia; Carnivora; Mustelidae
Description: miRNA (ENSMPUG00000020809.1)
Source: RNAcentral